Molecule: transfer RNA, 72 nt
Filed under: Cavia porcellus (domestic guinea pig)
Lineage: Eukaryota; Metazoa; Chordata; Mammalia; Rodentia; Caviidae
Rfam family: tRNA
About the family: Transfer RNA (tRNA) molecules are approximately 80 nucleotides in length. Their secondary structure includes four short double-helical elements and three loops (D, anti-codon, and T loops). Further hydrogen bonds mediate the characteristic L-shaped molecular structure. tRNAs have two regions of fundamental functional importance: the anti-codon, which is responsible for specific mRNA codon recognition, and the 3' end, to which the tRNAs corresponding amino acid is attached (by aminoacyl-tRNA synthetases). tRNAs cope with the degeneracy of the genetic code in two manners: having more than one tRNA (with a specific anti-codon) for a particular amino acid; and 'wobble' base-pairing, i.e. permitting non-standard base-pairing at the 3rd anti-codon position.
Source: Rfam by way of RNAcentral
GGGGAUAUAGCUCAGUGGCACAGAGUCUGCCUGGCAAGUGUGAGGUCCUGAGUUCAACUCCCGGUACCCCCC